GACAGAGGCCUCAAGCGUUAGGCGGAAUCACUGGGCUUAAAGCGUGUGUAGGCGGGUCGUUAAGUACCUUGUGAAAUCCCACGGCUCACCCGUGGAACUGCUGGGUAUACUGGCGAUCUUGGGCCAUUCAGGGGCAACUGGAACAAGCGGUGGAGCGGUGAAAUGCGUAGAUAUCGCUUGGAACGCCAAAGGUGAAAACAGGUUGCUGGGAAUGUGACCG
This 220-nucleotide ribosomal RNA is filed under the name uncultured bacterium. RNAcentral's name for it is "partial 16S ribosomal RNA". It matches the Rfam family "Bacterial small subunit ribosomal RNA", at positions 524 to 742 of the family's 1533-position model. The record is from RNAcentral.